RNAcentral lists this ribosomal RNA (484 nucleotides) under uncultured bacterium. RNAcentral describes it as "partial 16S ribosomal RNA". It matches the Rfam family "Bacterial small subunit ribosomal RNA", at positions 30 to 507 of the family's 1533-position model. The record is from RNAcentral.
AUUGAACGCUGGCGGCAGGCCUAACACAUGCAAGUCGAGCGGAUGAAGCGAGCUUGCUCCUGGAUUCAGCGGCGGACGGGUGUGUAAUGCCUAGGAAUCUGCCUGGUAGUGGGGGAUAACGUCCGGAAACGGGCGCUACUACUGCAUAAGUGCUGAGGGAGAAAGGGGGGGAUGUUCGGACCUCACGCUAUCAGAUGAGUCUAGGUCGGAUUAGCUAGUUGGUGGGGUAAAGGCCUACCAAGGAGACGAUCCGUAACUGGUCUGAGAGGCUGAUCAGCCACACUAGAACUUAGACACGGUCCAUACUCCUACGGGAGGCAGCAGUGGGGAAUAUUGGACAAUGGUCGGAAGCCUUAUCCAGCCAUGCCGCGUGUGUUGAGAAAGUCUUCGGAUUGUAAAGCACGUUAAGUUGGUGUGAAGGGCAGUAAGUUAAUACCUUGCUGUUUUGACGUUACCAACAGAAUAAGCACCGGCUAACUUCGUG